GGGUGGCUGGGGAGCAAGAAGCUUGUAGGAACCUAACGGAUUAAAUUGGAAUCCUGGGGUCGUGCAGCGAGGCGAUAGGGAAGGUCGGUGAUUCCUUACCCAGCCACGACUUUGUGUAGUUUUACCCCACGCGACGGUGCCUUUCAUCUUUCCAGAUCCUGUGUAGUUUUAUAGGCAGCCCCUGGGAAGGUUCCCUGGUUUCGCCCUUCUCAGAGCUCUGGAGGCCUCUGGUUUAACAUCACCUUGAGGGCCCCUGGUACGUCCCCCAAGGGUCCUCUGAUUACUGAUGCUCUUGAGGGAACGCUUCUUACCAUUCUGCUGAUGAGCUUGAAUCCCGGAAGAACUCAGGUUGAGGCUUCAAAGCUGAGGGAACUAUGUCUUGCUUCCUCUCUCUCACCUGGGGUAGCAGAAAAAUGCCUACAAACAACAGGGAAUAAAAUGGUGUCAAGACAUCUAAAUUACAAGAAUGAUAACUGAGGUGUCUCCGAGUGACUUGGAAUACGCAAGUGUUUACUUACCUUAUCUUAGAAGAUUCUGAGUAAGACCGGUCAGUUGAGAAGUCUGAAAGAAAUUAGUUUUAAGCUAUUUCCUCGUGACUGAAAUUGCAGAUGUCAGAUUCCAUUACAGGAGGCCAAGAGUAGAAGAGCUUCUCCCUUGUUUCAUCCCAGGGUAUCCCAGAAGCCUUUGUGCAGUGUUAAGCUUUAAAUAGCUUAAAACAGCACUAAGACUUUGGGACACUCUUAUCUUUAUUGAACGAACCCCAUGCUAACUACUGAAGACAUGAUUAUAAGCAGCACAGACCUACUAGCUGGUCUCGUGGAGCUUCUCAUCUCUUGAAGGUGUCAGACCAAUAAGUAAAUGCUUGCGAACAGCUACUGUGGAGAUGUUCCCAUUACUCUUGCUGCAUAACAAACUACAUGAGACUAUGCCUCAUGGACUCUGUGGGUCAAGAAUUCAGUCAGAGUGUGGCUGGGUGAUUCUUCUACUCCUGGAUCGACUGCAGUCACUCCGUGGGACUCAGCUGGUGGAUGGACUGGUCUAGAGGAUCCAAACAGCCUCGCUCACAUGUUUGGUGGUGGGAGAGCCUAAAGGACUAGCUCACAUGGCACACACAACUGGAGCACCCAUGCAUGGUGAAAAGCCAGGUGGAAAUUCAGGGUAGAUGAAUUUCUUACAUAGGGAUCAGGUACCCCCAGACCAUGUCUCAAGAAAAUUAGGUGGAAACUUCGUGACAUUUUUGGACCUAGCCUGGAAAGUCACACAACAAAACUCACAGCAAUUUCUUGUUGAUUAACAAGGGAGUCAUAAUGUCAGCCUAGAUUCAAGGAGAAAGAAAUUGGAUUCUAUUUCUUGAUGUGGGAAUAGCAAAUUCACACUGUAGAAACCUUGUGGGAAGGGAGAUACUAUUAUAGCCAUUUUAAUUGUUAAAGAAUUUGUACUUAGAAUUAGCCAGCUGAACUAAGUUUAGAUGAUUCCACUUUUGUUGGCAACAUCCAAAGCACCAUAGUCAGGAGCUAGUUGAAUAGAUGCUUUAUUCUCUUCAUCAGGUUUGUUCAGAGUGUUGACCUUGACCCCAUCCAGUAUCAGUGUCAUAGAGCUUCUUCAUAGCCUGUUUGGUCUGGUGCUUGUUGGUUUUGACAUCCACAAGGAAGAGAAGUGUGUUGUUGUCUUCUGUCUUCUUCAUGGCUGACUCCGUUGUCAGGGGGCUUGAUAUUGGCAUAGAGGUCAAACUUGUUUCUCCUGGGGGUACUCUUCUAGGGCUAUUUGGGUUGCCUUUAGAGCCAUAGUGUCUUAGGCUAUCAAAAGUUGGGUGAUAUGAAGAUCUUCUUUAUGACUAUCUUCAAAAAUACAACCUUCCAGAAAAAGAAAGAAAGAAAAAAUGGAGUUGUAGGGAAAGACUUUAUAGAACUAAAAAUAAGAAAGACGGGUAAGAAAGACAAUAGGAGGAAGACAAUGGAGACCUCCAUAGGCAGAGUAAAUACUUCUUGCAAAGGCCCUAUGGUGAAAAGGAGUUUGCCAAAUUUGAGAAACAAAACAAAACAAAAAACAGCUGGAGCUGGAGUUUGGAGAGUGAGGGAGAGGGUAAGUUUCAAAAAUCAGGUAGUAUCUUGCAAGCCAUGUUAAGACAUCCAGACGCUCUAGUAAGAGCAGUGGGAACAAGAUGUUUAAGCAGAGAGUAGCAUGAUCUGAGGACUUGCAUGGAUCUUUCAGAAUAAAUUGGAGGGGUCAGUUCUGAUCUAGUUAGGAAAUUGUUGCAGUGUCCAUGCUGAUGAUGAGGGUUGCCUGAAUUAAUAUGGCAGACAGAUUUGAGUUUCAUUUAGAGACAU
Long non-coding RNA from Lutra lutra (Eurasian river otter), 2327 nucleotides. RefSeq lists it as uncharacterized. The transcript is spliced from 3 exons. NCBI's taxonomy places the organism in Eukaryota, Metazoa, Chordata, Mammalia, Carnivora, Mustelidae. The record is from RefSeq and is a predicted model, not a curated record.